CCUACGGGAGGCAGCAGUGGGGGAUAUUGGACAAUGGGGGAAACCCUGAUCCAGCGACGCCGCGUGAGUGAAGAAGUAUUUCGGUAUGUAAAGCUCUAUCAGCAGGGAAGAAAGAAAUGACGUUACCGGAGUAAGAGGCCCCGGCUAACUACGUGCCAGCAGCAGCGGUAAUACGUAGGGGGCAAGCGUUAUCCGGAAUUACUGGGGGUAAAGGGAGCGUAGACGGUAAUGCAAGUCUGGAGUGAAAGGCGGGGGCUAAACCCCCGGACUGCUCUGGAAACUGUGUAACUGGAGUGCAGGAGAGGCAGGCGGAAUUCCUAGUGUAGCGGUGAAAUGCGUAGAUAUUAGGAGGAACACCAGUGGCGAAGGUGGUCUGCUGGACUGCAACUGACGUUGAGGCGCGAAAGCGUGGGGAGCAAACAGGAUUAGAUACCCGAGUAGUC
This 443-nucleotide ribosomal RNA is filed under the name uncultured bacterium. Its description in RNAcentral is "partial 16S ribosomal RNA". It matches the Rfam family "Bacterial small subunit ribosomal RNA", at positions 338 to 795 of the family's 1533-position model. The record is from RNAcentral.